RNAcentral lists this ribosomal RNA (250 nucleotides) under uncultured bacterium. Its description in RNAcentral is "partial 16S ribosomal RNA". It matches the Rfam family "Bacterial small subunit ribosomal RNA", at positions 524 to 773 of the family's 1533-position model. The record is from RNAcentral.
UACGUAGGGAGCAAGCGUUAUCCGGAAUUACUGGGUGUAAAGGGUGCGUAGGCGGGAUGUAAAGUCAGAUGUGAAAUACCAAGGCUUAACCUUGGGGCUGCAUUUGAAACUUACAUUCUUGAGUGAAGUAGAGGCAAGCGGAAUUCCCAGUGUAGCGGUAAAAUGCGUAGAUAUUGGGAGGAACACCAGUGGCGAAGGCGGCUUGCUGGGCUUUAACUGACGCUGAGGCACGAAAGCAUGGGGAGCAAAC